AGAGUUUGAUCAUGGCUCAGAUUGAACGCUGGCGGCAUGCCUUACACAUGCAAGUCGAACGCGAAAGGGGGGCAACCCCCGAGUAGAGUGGCGAACGGGUGAGUAAUACAUCGGAACGUACCCAGUAGCGGGGGAUAACCUCUCGAAAGAGAGGCUAAUACCGCAUACGACCUACGGGUGAAAGAGGGGGAUCGCAAGACCUCUCACUAUUGGAGCGGCCGAUGUCGGAUUAGCUAGUUGGUGGGGUAAAAGCCUACCAAGGCCACGAUCCGUAGCUGGUCUGAGAGGACGGCCAGCCACACUGGAACUGAGACACGGUCCAGACUCCUACGGGAGGCAGCAGUGGGGAAUUUUGGACAAUGGGCGAAAGCCUGAUCCAGCCAUGCCGCGUGAGUGAAGAAGGCCUUCGGGUUGUAAAGCUCUUUCGGCUGGGACGAAAAGGUCCGUGCUAACACCACGGAUCCAUGACGGUACCAGCAGAAGAAGCACCGGCUAACUACGUGCCAGCAGCCGCGGUAAUACGUAGGGUGCAGGCGUUAAUCGGAAUUACUGGGCGUAAAGCGUGCGCAGGCGGUUUGCUAAGACAGGUGUGAAAUCCCCGGGCUUAACCUGGGAACUGCGCUUGUAACUGGCAAGCUUGAGUGUGGCAGAGGGGGGUGGAAUUCCACGUGUAGCAGUGAAAUGCGUAGAGAUGUGGAGGAACACCGAUGGCGAA
Molecule: ribosomal RNA, 715 nt
Filed under: uncultured beta proteobacterium
Lineage: Bacteria; Pseudomonadati; Pseudomonadota; Betaproteobacteria
Description: bacterial SSU rRNA
Rfam family: Bacterial small subunit ribosomal RNA
Source: RNAcentral